Molecule: ribosomal RNA, 429 nt
Filed under: Chloroflexota bacterium
Lineage: Bacteria; Bacillati; Chloroflexota
Description: Chloroflexi bacterium partial 16S ribosomal RNA
Rfam family: Bacterial small subunit ribosomal RNA
Source: RNAcentral
UGGGGAAUAUUGCACAAUGGGCGCAAGCCUGAUGCAGCCAUGCCGCGUGUAUGAAGAAGGCCUUCGGGUUGUAAAGUACUUUCAGCGGGGAGGAAGGGAGUAAAGUUAAUACCUUUGCUCAUUGACGUUACCCGCAGAAGAAGCACCGGCUAACUCCGUGCCAGCAGCCGCGAUAAUACGGAGGGUGCAAGCGUUAAUCGGAAUUACUGGGCGUAAAGCGCACGCAGGCGGUUUGUUAAGUCAGAUGUGAAAUCCCCGGGCUCAACCUGGGACCUGCAUCUGAUACUGGCAAGCUUGAGUCUCGUAGAGGGGGGUAGAAUUCCAGGUGUAGCGGUGAAAUGCGUAGAGAUCUGGAGGAAUACCGGUGGCGAAGGCGGCCCCCUGGACGAAGACUGACGCUCAGGUGCGAAAGCGUGGGGAGCAAACAGG